GGGAUGUGGCUCAGUGAUAGAGCUUUUGCCUUGUAUGCACAAGGCCCUGGGUUCCAUCCCAGCCCCA
RNAcentral lists this transfer RNA (67 nucleotides) under Cavia porcellus (domestic guinea pig). It matches the Rfam family "tRNA". Rfam says of the family: Transfer RNA (tRNA) molecules are approximately 80 nucleotides in length. Their secondary structure includes four short double-helical elements and three loops (D, anti-codon, and T loops). The record is from Rfam by way of RNAcentral. Lineage: Eukaryota; Metazoa; Chordata; Mammalia; Rodentia; Caviidae.